Molecule: long non-coding RNA, 228 nt
Filed under: Elaeis guineensis (African oil palm)
Lineage: Eukaryota; Viridiplantae; Streptophyta; Magnoliopsida; Arecales; Arecaceae
Description: long non-coding RNA (EGUI_LNC016063)
Source: RNAcentral
UUAACUUCUAAUCCACCUUUCUUUUCUGUUUCCAGUCAAACUCUUGAUAUGAGGCCUAUUGACGUGUUCUAACUUCUAACCGUCCCUCAUCCUAUCACCUUAUCUAUAACCCUAGCUUUAAAUAGAUUGCGAAUGUGUCAGAACUUUAACCGACCGGGGUCAUAAUGGCAGAAUUCUAUCUGCCUCUAGAAACAUAGGUUCAACUGAAUUGAAUCGUGAUCGUAGGUC